Molecule: ribosomal RNA, 465 nt
Filed under: Vreelandella stevensii
Lineage: Bacteria; Pseudomonadati; Pseudomonadota; Gammaproteobacteria; Oceanospirillales; Halomonadaceae
Description: partial 16S ribosomal RNA
Rfam family: Bacterial small subunit ribosomal RNA
Source: RNAcentral
CCUACGGGCGGCUGCAGUGGGGAAUAUUGGACAAUGGGGGCAACCCUGAUCCAGCCAUGCCGCGUGUGUGAAGAAGGCCCUCGGGUUGUAAAGCACUUUCAGUGAGGAAGAACGCCUGGUGGUUAAUACCCAUCAGGAAAGACAUCACUCACAGAAGAAGCACCGGCUAACUCCGUGCCAGCAGCCGCGGUAAUACGGAGGGUGCGGGCGUUAAUCGGAAUUACUGGGCGUAAAGCGCGCGUAGGUGGCUUGAUAAGCCGGUUGUGAAAGCCCCGGGCUCAACCUGGGAACGGCAUCCGGAACUGUCAAGCUAGAGUGCAGGAGAGGAAGGUAGAAUUCCCGGUGUAGCGGUGAAAUGCGUAGAGAUCGGGAGGAAUACCAGUGGCGAAGGCGGCCUUCUGGACUGACACUGACACUGAGGUGCGAAAGCGUGGGUAGCAAACAGGAUUAGAUACCCUGGUAGUC